AUACGUAGGUGGCAAGCGUUGUCCGGAAUUAUUGGGCGUAAAGCGCGCGCAGGUGGUUCCUUAAGUCUGAUGUGAAAGCCUCCGGCCCAACCGGGGAGGGUCAGUGGAAACUGGGGAACUUGAGUGCAGAAGAGGAUAGUGGAAUUUCAAGUGUAGCGGUGAAAUGCGUAGUGAUUUGGAGGAACACCGGUGGCGAAGGCGACUGUCUGGUCUGUACCUGACACUGAGGCACGAAAGCGUGGGGGGCAAACAGAAUUAGAUACCCUGGUAGUCCACGCCGUAAACGAUGAGUGCUAAGUGUUGGGGGGUUACCGCCCCUCAGUGCUGCAGCUAACGCAUUAAGCACUCCGCCUGGGGAGUACGGUCGCAAGACUGAAACUCAAAUGAAUUGGCGGGG
Molecule: ribosomal RNA, 397 nt
Filed under: uncultured bacterium
Lineage: Bacteria
Description: partial 16S ribosomal RNA
Rfam family: Bacterial small subunit ribosomal RNA
Source: RNAcentral